AAUUCUGUACUUCCUCUUGGAAAAUGAAGUAGAGAAUCCCUCUAUAACCUUUUCUUUUAUCAAUUUAGGAAAUAUUAAAUUCCUACCUACACCAUCACUGUUUGAAACACAUGUCAUUGCCUUCUCAUCAUCAUUGUCGCUAAUGAGAAAAACAAUUAAAGGCAUACUAUGCCAGGUACUGUGUCUAAGUUAUUCUUGGUGGAAAUUGCAUUGCAUGUAUAAUAAAGUCAUCAACCCCUUCUACAAAAUCCUCCCGCAAUCCUAAAUUUCAAUUCAUAUCCACAAAAGUUCAAUUCAUACACACAAAAGUUCAAGUCAUAUCCUAAAAUUUCAAUUUAUAAACUAAAAUUCCAAUACAUAAACCAAAAAUUUCAAUUCAUAUCCUAAAGGUUCAAUUCAUAUCCUAAAGGUUCAACGCAUCUCCACAAAAGUUCAAGUCAUAUCCUAAAAUUUCAAUUUAUAAACUAAAAUUCCAAUACAUAAACUAAAAGUCCAAUUCAUAUCCUAAAGGUUCAAUUCAUAUCCUAAAGGUUCAACUCAUAUCCACAAAAGUUCAAGUCAUAUCCUAAAAUUUCAAUUUAUAAACUAAAAUUCCAAUACAUAAACUAAUAUCCUAAAGGUUCAACUCAUAUCCACAAAAG
RNAcentral lists this long non-coding RNA (641 nucleotides) under Nicotiana tabacum (common tobacco). Its description in RNAcentral is "long non-coding RNA (NTAB_LNC011956)". Lineage: Eukaryota; Viridiplantae; Streptophyta; Magnoliopsida; Solanales; Solanaceae. The record is from RNAcentral.